RNAcentral lists this transfer RNA (70 nucleotides) under Corythoxestis sunosei. RNAcentral describes it as "tRNA-Leu". The record is from RNAcentral. Lineage: Eukaryota; Metazoa; Arthropoda; Insecta; Lepidoptera; Gracillariidae.
ACUAUUUUGGCAGAAAGAAUGUGAUGGUUUUAGGAAUCAUUAAUGUAUAAAUUUAUUUAUAUAAAUAGUA